RNAcentral lists this ribosomal RNA (573 nucleotides) under uncultured bacterium. RNAcentral's name for it is "bacterial SSU rRNA". It matches the Rfam family "Bacterial small subunit ribosomal RNA", at positions 54 to 623 of the family's 1533-position model. The record is from RNAcentral.
CAUGCAGCCGAGCGGUAGAGAUCUUUCGGGAUCUUGAGAGCGGCGUACGGGUGCGGAACACGUGUGCAACCUGCCUUUAUCAGGGGGAUAGCCUUUCGAAAGGAAGAUUAAUACCCCAUAAUAUAUUGAGUGGCAUCACUUAAUAUUGAAAACUCCGGUGGAUAGAGAUGGGCACGCGCAAGAUUAGAUAGUUGGUGAGGUAACGGCUCACCAAGUCUGCGAUCUUUAGGGGGCCUGAGAGGGUGAUCCCCCACACUGGUACUGAGACACGGACCAGACUCCUACGGGAGGCAGCAGUGAGGAAUAUUGGACAAUGGGUGCGAGCCUGAUCCAGCCAUCCCGCGUGAAGGACGACGGCCCUAUGGGUUGUAAACUUCUUUUGUAUAGGGAUAAACCUACUCUCGUGAGAGUAGCUGAAGGUACUAUACGAAUAAGCACCGGCUAACUCCGUGCCAGCAGCCGCGGUAAUACGGAGGGGUGCAAGCGUUAUCCGGAUUUUAUUGGGUUUAAAGGGUCCGUAGGCGGAUCUGUAAGUCAGUGGUGAAAAUCUCACAGCUUAACUGGUGAAAACUG